RNAcentral lists this ribosomal RNA (263 nucleotides) under uncultured bacterium. Its description in RNAcentral is "partial 16S ribosomal RNA". It matches the Rfam family "Bacterial small subunit ribosomal RNA", at positions 524 to 783 of the family's 1533-position model. The record is from RNAcentral.
UACGUAGGGUGCAAGCGUUGUCCGGAUUCAUUGGGCGUAAAGCGCGCGUAGGCGGCUUCGUAAGUCGGCCGUGAAAUCUCCAGGCUUAACUUGGAGGGGUCGGGCGAGACUGCGGAGCUCGGGGUGGGCAGAGGGCAGUGGAAUUCCGGGUGUAGUGGUGGAAUGCGUAGAGAUCCGGAGGAACACCAGUGGCGAAGGCGGGCUGCCUGGGCCCUGGGCCUGACGCUGAGGCGCGAAAGCGUGGGGAGCGAUCGGAUUGAGAA